RNAcentral lists this small nuclear RNA (25 nucleotides) under Arabidopsis thaliana (thale cress). RNAcentral describes it as "snRNA_03783". The record is from RNAcentral. Lineage: Eukaryota; Viridiplantae; Streptophyta; Magnoliopsida; Brassicales; Brassicaceae.
UGGGGCGGCACAUCUGUUAAAAGAU